This 277-nucleotide unclassified non-coding RNA is filed under the name Hevea brasiliensis (rubber tree). Lineage: Eukaryota; Viridiplantae; Streptophyta; Magnoliopsida; Malpighiales; Euphorbiaceae. The record is from RNAcentral.
AUGCGACCAGCAUCAUAUUUUAUGUUUGAUAAUGCUUCCUUAACACACUCGCACACAGCUAUCCUAUCUUCUUCGGUUUUCACAAGGUUAGCAAGUUCUUUCACUCCACUACAACAAGCGGGUGAAGGUUCGUCUCUUUUGUCCUGUACAUAAUCCAGGCAUGGAGUUAAUGAAGCAAUCACUUUGGAGCACACAAUUUGUAAUGGCACAGAUAUAGCUGGUUUUGAAACAAGUAAGAGUAGGAUUAAUAGCCCAGCCAGGCGAAUCAUGGUCUCUG